Molecule: small RNA, 130 nt
Filed under: Danio rerio (zebrafish)
Lineage: Eukaryota; Metazoa; Chordata; Actinopteri; Cypriniformes; Danionidae
Description: 7SK RNA (ENSDARG00000083675.2)
Source: RNAcentral
UCUACUCCGAGCUCCGUGCUCGGUAGAAGAGAAAGAGUUUUCCCCAGCGGACACAAGCAUCACUGGUAUAGAAGUAGCUGCGCUCCCCUGCUAGUAUAUGAAUAAUGAUGUAUUAAUAUGUAAACUAAAC